Molecule: long non-coding RNA, 468 nt
Filed under: Canis lupus familiaris (dog)
Lineage: Eukaryota; Metazoa; Chordata; Mammalia; Carnivora; Canidae
Description: lncRNA (ENSCAFG00040010684.1)
Source: RNAcentral
CCCGCCGCUCACACGGGCUGCGGCCGAGUUCAAUUCAGAACUGCGGCGAGUCCGGCUUCCCCGGGAGCCGGGGCCGCCCGGGCGCCGGGGGCCGAGUUCCGAGGGACUUUGCAAAAGAGGCGCUCGCCUCCCUCCCUGCGCGCCUCCUCCGGGAGCACGGGGAUGCUUGCACCUGCGCCGCCGGGGACCGCCUGGCCAGAGCCGCUGCUCCGCCCCCGGGGACGGGGGGACCUGCGCCCAGGAGCGCUUGGAAAUUGGAUCUUGGCAAAAUUAGCAACGAAUCCAUAAAGGAGACUAAAAGCCAUUUGAUCUCCCUCUUCAAUGACAGUCCCACAAAAGUCGAAGAAAUACAUUAUGUCUCCAAUGAAGAGAGCAGUUGUACCCUAAAAUUAGGACAUGAUUAAGAUCCUAUACAGUCAGCAGAGUUCUGAGUUUAGAGGUUGCUUCAGUGAACAUUCAACGCUGUCG